AUUGAACGCUGGCGGCAGGCCUAACACAUGCAAGUCGAGCGGAUGAAGGGAGCUUGCUCCUGGAUUCAGCGGCGGACGGGUGAGUAAUGCCUAGGAAUCUGCCUGGUAGUGGGGGAUAACGUCCGGAAACGGGCGCUAAUACCGCAUACGUCCUGAGGGAGAAAGUGGGGGAUCUUCGGACCUCACGCUAUCAGAUGAGCCUAGGUCGGAUUAGCUAGUUGGUGGGGUAAAGGCCUACCAAGGCGACGAUCCGUAACUGGUCUGAGAGGAUGAUCAGUCACACUGGAACUGAGACACGGUCCAGACUCCUACGGGAGGCAGCAGUGGGGAAUAUUGGACAAUGGGCGAAAGCCUGAUCCAGCCAUGCCGCGUGUGUGAAGAAGGUCUUCGGAUUGUAAAGCACUUUAAGUGGGGAGGAAGGGCAGUAAGUUAAUACCUUGCUGUAUUGACGUUACCAACAGAAUAAGCACCGGCUAACUUCGUG
This 484-nucleotide ribosomal RNA is filed under the name uncultured bacterium. RNAcentral describes it as "partial 16S ribosomal RNA". It matches the Rfam family "Bacterial small subunit ribosomal RNA", at positions 30 to 507 of the family's 1533-position model. The record is from RNAcentral.